This 553-nucleotide ribosomal RNA is filed under the name uncultured archaeon. RNAcentral describes it as "bacterial SSU rRNA". It matches the Rfam family "Archaeal small subunit ribosomal RNA", at positions 326 to 879 of the family's 1478-position model. The record is from RNAcentral.
CGGGGUGCACCAGGCGCGAAAACUUUACAAUGCCGGCAACGGCGAUAAGGGAACCUCGAGUGCCAGGUUACAAAUCUGGCUGUCGUGAUGCCUAAAAAGCAUUGCAUAGCAAGGGCCGGGCAAGACCGGUGCCAGCCGCCGCGGUAACACCGGCGGCUCGAGUGGUAACCGUUAUUAUUGGGUCUAAAGGGUCUGUAGCCGGCCGGAUAAGUCUCUUGGGAAAUCUGGCAGCUUAACUGUCAGGCUUUCAGGAGAUACUGCCUGGCUCGAGGCCGGGAGAGGUGAGAGGUACUUCAGGGGUAGGGGUGAAAUCUUGUAAUCCUUGAAGGACCACCAGUGGCGAAGGCGUCUCACCAGAACGGACCUGACGGCAAGGGACGAAAGCUAGGGGCACGAACCGGAUUAGAUACCCGGGUAGUCCUAGCCGUAAACGAUACUCGCUAGGUGUCGGCCACGGUGCGACCGUGGUCGGUGCCGUAGGGAAGCCGUGAAGCGAGCCACCUGGGAAGUACGGCCGCAAGGCUGAAACUUAAAGGAAUUGGCGGGGGAGCAC